UAGGGAAUAUUGGAUAAUGGGCGAAAGCCUGAUCCAGCAACGCCGCGUGUGCGAUGACGGCCUUCGGGUUGUAAAGCACUUUUAGAGGAGAUGAAAAAGGACAGUAUCCUCUGAAUAAGCCUCGGCGAACUACGUGCCAGCAGCCGCGGUAAAACGUAGGAGGCUAGCGUUAUCCGGAUUUAUUGGGCGUAAAGCGCGUGCAGGCGGUUUAUCAAGUUGGAUGUGAAAGCUCCUGGCUUAACUGGGAGAGGUCGUUCGAAACUGAUAGACUAGAGAAUGGUAGAGGGAGGUGGAAUUCCGGGUGUAGUGGUGAAAUGCGUAGAUAUCCGGAGGAACACCAGUGGCGAAAGCGGCCUCCUGGGCCAUUUCUGACGCUAAGACGCGAAAGCUAGGGUAGCAAACGGG
RNAcentral lists this ribosomal RNA (405 nucleotides) under uncultured bacterium. RNAcentral describes it as "bacterial SSU rRNA". It matches the Rfam family "Bacterial small subunit ribosomal RNA", at positions 355 to 776 of the family's 1533-position model. The record is from RNAcentral.